Molecule: non-coding RNA, 493 nt
Organism: Sapajus apella (tufted capuchin)
Lineage: Eukaryota; Metazoa; Chordata; Mammalia; Primates; Cebidae
Source: the annotation of a RefSeq genome assembly
CCCGGCCCUGACCCUGCAGCUCUGGGAGAGCAGCCCCGGCCCUGGGAUUCCCAGGAGUUUCCACUUGGUGAUCAGCACUGAACACAGACCACCAACCAUGGAGUCUGUGCUGAGCUGGGUUUUCCUUGUUACAGUUUUGAAAGGUGUCCAGUGUGAGGUGCAGCUGGUGGAGUCUGGGGGAGGCUUGGUCCAGCCUGGGGGAUUCCUGAGACUCUCCUGUGCGGCCUCUGGAUUCACCUUCAGCAGCUAUGCCAUGAGCUGGGUCCGCCAGGCUCCGGGGAAGGGGCUGGAGUGGGUGGGUUUUAUUAGAACCAAAGCCUAUGGUGGGACAGCAGAAUACGCCGCGUCUGUGAAAGGCCGAUUCACCAUCUCGAGAGAUGAUUCAAAGAACUCGCUGUAUCUGCAGAGGAGCAGCCUGAGAGCCGAGGACACGGCCGUGUAUUACUGUGCGAGACACAGUGAGGGGAGGCCCGUGUGAGCCCGGACACAAACC